This 253-nucleotide ribosomal RNA is filed under the name uncultured bacterium. Its description in RNAcentral is "partial 16S ribosomal RNA". It matches the Rfam family "Bacterial small subunit ribosomal RNA", at positions 524 to 776 of the family's 1533-position model. The record is from RNAcentral.
UACGAAGGGGGCUAGCGUUGCUCGGAAUCACUGGGCGUAAAGGGUGCGUAGGCGGGUCUUUAAGUCAGACGUGAAAUCCCUCGGCUCAACCGGGGAACUGCGUCUGAGACUGGAAGGCUUGAAUCCGGGAGAGGGAUGUGGAAUUCCAGGUGUAGCGGUGAAAUGCGUAGAUAUCUGGAGGAACACCGGUGGCGAAGGCGGCAUCCUGGACCGGUAUUGACGCUGAGGCGCGAAAGCCAGGGGAGCAAACGGG